RNAcentral lists this ribosomal RNA (249 nucleotides) under Triticum aestivum (bread wheat). Its description in RNAcentral is "partial small subunit ribosomal RNA". Lineage: Eukaryota; Viridiplantae; Streptophyta; Magnoliopsida; Poales; Poaceae. The record is from RNAcentral.
AUGGAAAAAUGUGGGAUCCGCAAAUACCGUAUUAUGGAUAUUUUAUGCUUUCAAUACGGUGGAUUUGAUAAGGUUGGAUGCAUAAAGAGGGACAUUUAUAAUUUUUGCCAUGCUAAUAAGCAGGAGACAAUCAGUGCCGGUGAUGCUAAUACGGUGAUCAUGCACAUGAUGGCGAGGCGAGAGCAAGAUAUGGAUUUUUUCUUCAAGUACUUGGUAGACGAGCAUGGCCAUCUGAAGGGACUAUUCUAG